GUGAAGAACGCAGCGAAAUGCGAUACGUAAUGUGAAUUGCAGAUUUCAGUGAAUCAUCGAAUCUUUGAACGCACAUUGCGCCCGCCAGUAUUCUGGCGGGCAUGCCUGUUCGAGCGUCAUUUCAACCAUCAAGCCUUCGCUUGUGUUGGGGCCCCGCGGCUGCCGCGGUCCCCUAAAUCCAGUGGCGGGCUCGUCGUCGUACCGAGCGCAGUAGACAUCCUCGCUCCGGGAACCCGACGGGUGCCGGCCGUGAAACCCCCCACAUCAAGGUUGACCUCGGAUCAGGUAGGAAUACCCGCUGAACUUAAGCAUAUCAAUAAGCGGAGGA
Molecule: unclassified non-coding RNA, 328 nt
Filed under: soil metagenome
Description: partial contains 5.8S ribosomal RNA, internal transcribed spacer 2, and large subunit ribosomal RNA
Rfam family: 5.8S ribosomal RNA (bases 2-119)
Source: RNAcentral